RNAcentral lists this small RNA (28 nucleotides) under Bombyx mori (domestic silkworm). RNAcentral describes it as "ovarian small RNA-6620". Lineage: Eukaryota; Metazoa; Arthropoda; Insecta; Lepidoptera; Bombycidae. The record is from RNAcentral.
UAUCUGUGGUUGACUAUGAACUAGGUGU